RNAcentral lists this ribosomal RNA (681 nucleotides) under uncultured eukaryote. RNAcentral describes it as "eukaryotic LSU rRNA". The stretch from base 248 to 401 matches the Rfam family "5.8S ribosomal RNA". The record is from RNAcentral.
UAAAAGUCGUAACAAGGUUUCCGUAGGUGAACCUGCGGAAGGAUCAUUAACGAAUCCAAAUCUUACUUGCCUUAGCGGUAACUUGAUGUUGUUCUUCGGGGUCGGCUUCGGUCGUUAAAUCGUCUGUGGGUACGGUGAACUUCGGUUCGCUAGGCGGGCCCCGAAUUAGUUUUUUACUCACUCAAUGCCUUAACGUUUCGAUUCCUCGGACGGACUCGAUCCGCACGAGAGUUGCCUAAAAGCGAACAACUUUAAACGGUGGAUCUCUUGGCUCGUGCAUCGAUGAAGAACGCAGCAAACUGCGAUAAGUAAUGUGAAUUGCAGAAUUUAGUGAGUCAUCGAAUCUUUGAACGCAAAUGGCGCUCUUGGGCAUUCCCAGGAGCACGCCUGUCUGAGCGUCGUUUCUCACAUCCCAACUCUCAGGAGCUGGGGCCAUGAGGUGUCCCUUUGCUGCGAAGCGAACGGUCCCUUGAAGUAUAGCGAUCCCGAGUUGUGCGGAAGCCUUUCUUGGCCCGCCAUCUUCGGUGUGGUAGAAAUAUCUCACCGAGGAUACGUGCUUGGAGAGUGUCGGAUGUCUUCUCAUAGGGACGACUGGAAAGGAGGAUGAAAGCUCUCGGGCAUUCUUUCGACCAAUCAAGACCUCAGAUCAGACGAGACUACCCGCUGAACUUAAGCAUAUCA